This 406-nucleotide ribosomal RNA is filed under the name uncultured bacterium. Its description in RNAcentral is "partial 16S ribosomal RNA". It matches the Rfam family "Bacterial small subunit ribosomal RNA", at positions 30 to 526 of the family's 1533-position model. The record is from RNAcentral.
AUUGAACGCUGGCGGCAGGCCUAACACAUGCAAGUCGAACGCGUGGCGGAGGGGUGUGUAAUGUCUGGGAAACUGCUCGAUGGCGGGGGAUAAUUACUGGAAACGGUAGUUAAUACCGCAUACCAUCCGAUGUUCCCAGAUGGGAUUAGCUAGUCGGUGGGGUAACGGCUCACCUAGGCGACGAUCCCUAGUUGGUCUGAGAGGAUGACCGGCCACCCUGGAACUGAGACACGGUCCAGACUCCUACGGGAGGCAGCAGUAGGGAAGAUUCCGCAAUGGGCGCAAGCCUGAUGGAGCAAUGCCGCGUGUAUGAUGAAGGCCUUCGGGUCGUAAAAUACUGUCAGCAGGGAGGCGUUACUCGAUGAGAAAGCCCCGGCUAACUCCGUGCCAGCAGCCGCGGUAAUAC